Molecule: ribosomal RNA, 433 nt
Filed under: uncultured bacterium
Lineage: Bacteria
Description: partial 16S ribosomal RNA
Rfam family: Bacterial small subunit ribosomal RNA
Source: RNAcentral
AACGAACGCUGGCGGCAUGCCUAACACAUGCAAGUCGAACGAGACCUUCGGGUCUAGUGGCGCACGGGUGCGUAACGCGUGGGAACCUGCCCUUAGGUUCGGAAUAACCCCCCGAAAGGGGUGCUAAUACCGGAUAAUGUCUUCGGACCAAAGAUUUAUCGCCUUUGGAUGGGCCCGCGUUGGAUUAGCUAGUUGGCAGGGUAAAAGCCUACCAAGGCGACGAUCCAUAGCUGGUCUGAGAGGAUGAUCAGCCACACUGGGACUGAGACACGGCCCAGACUCCUACGGGAGGCAGCAGUGGGGAAUAUUGGACAAUGGGCGAAAGCCUGAUCCAGCAAUGCCGCGUGAGUGAUGAAGGCCUUAGGGUUGUAAAGCUCUUUUACCCGGGAUGAUAAUGACAGUACCGGGAGAAUAAGCUCCGGCUAACUCCGUG